Oncorhynchus tshawytscha (Chinook salmon) is the source of this 780-nucleotide long non-coding RNA. Lineage: Eukaryota; Metazoa; Chordata; Actinopteri; Salmoniformes; Salmonidae. The record is from Ensembl.
UCUAUAUGUAGUAUAUACUGGGGGCUGAGUCUAUAUCUAUAUAUAUAUAUAUAUAUAUAUAGUGUAUACUGGGGGCUGAGUCUAUAUGUAGUAUGUACUGGGGGCUGAGUCUAUAUGUAGUAUGUACUGGGGGCUGAGUCUAUAUGUAGUAUAUACUGGGGGCUGAGUCUAUAUAUAGUAUGUACUGGGGGCUGAGUCUAUAUGUAGUAUGUACUGGGGCUCAAUGUCCCAAAUGGUGCACUAUUCCCUCUAUAGUGUACUACUUUCGGCGAUGGGCCCUAUUCUGUAGUGCACUACAUUUGACCAUGGGCCCUAUUCUGUAGUGCACUACUUUCGACUAUGGGCCCUAUGGGCUAUUCUAUUGAAUACAAAAUAAGUCCAUAGACUCCAGUAGAAUUCAGUUGUGGAUAUGUUUUAUACCUGAUUAAACUCAGUAGAAGGGCUGGUUUGUAAUUGACAUAAAAUGUAUUGUUAUGUCAUGAUCUGGAUGGAACCUGUGUUUUUUUAAAUUUUGUUCUGUUCCGGAACAGUAUAGAUCCCUUUCGUUGUCAGUUCUGGUUCUGUUCCUUGAAAUUCCGUUUUUCUUUUCUGUUCCCUGAACUGGUUCCAACCCCUGGUUUAGAAUAUUGUAAAGUAUCCAUUAAUUAAAUAAUAAAUGCUAACAAACUGUAAUCUUCUUCUUCAUUGAAGGUGGAUGAUGUUGGUAGAUUGUCUUUGUCCAUGAAAAGUCAGUAUUGUAUCAAGGUGAUGAUAAAUCACAAGAUUAAAAGAUGCCAGACA